Molecule: ribosomal RNA, 256 nt
Filed under: uncultured bacterium
Lineage: Bacteria
Description: partial 16S ribosomal RNA
Rfam family: Bacterial small subunit ribosomal RNA
Source: RNAcentral
UACGGGGGGGGGCAAGCGUUGUUCGGAAUUACUGGGCGUAAAGGGCUCGUAGGCGGCCAACUAAGUCAUACGUGAAAUCCCCCGGCUUAACCGGGGAACUGCGUCUGAUACUGGAUGGCUUGAGUUCGGGAGAGGGAUGCGGAAUUCCAGGUGUAGCGGUGAAAUGCGUAGAUAUCUGGAGGAACACCGGUGGCGAAGGCGGCAUCCUGGACCGAUACUGACGCUGAGGAGCGAAAGCCAGGGGAGCCAAAGCGGG